This 74-nucleotide transfer RNA is filed under the name Dipodomys ordii (Ord's kangaroo rat). It matches the Rfam family "tRNA". From Rfam's summary of the family: Transfer RNA (tRNA) molecules are approximately 80 nucleotides in length. Their secondary structure includes four short double-helical elements and three loops (D, anti-codon, and T loops). Further hydrogen bonds mediate the characteristic L-shaped molecular structure. tRNAs have two regions of fundamental functional importance: the anti-codon, which is responsible for specific mRNA codon recognition, and the 3' end, to which the tRNAs corresponding amino acid is attached (by aminoacyl-tRNA synthetases). tRNAs cope with the degeneracy of the genetic code in two manners: having more than one tRNA (with a specific anti-codon) for a particular amino acid; and 'wobble' base-pairing, i.e. permitting non-standard base-pairing at the 3rd anti-codon position. The record is from Rfam by way of RNAcentral. Lineage: Eukaryota; Metazoa; Chordata; Mammalia; Rodentia; Heteromyidae.
AGAGAUGUAGCUCAAGGGGCAGAGCACUUGCCUAAGCAAGCUCAAAGCCCUGAGUUCAAACCCCAGUAUCACCA